AACAGCAUCUUUCCAGUGCUCAUCCAAUAGCUACUUGCACUCCAGAACCACAACCUGUAAGUCACCCACUACAAGAACCUCCUUCACAGCAACAACCAGCAUCUCAACCACAAGAACUUGAUUUGCAGCAAGCAGCACCUCAUCCACAAGAAUUAGCAGCUUGUCCAGCGAUUGAGAGAAAGCAAAUCUCUGUUCAGUUUCCACGUAGGCACAUCACAGUUAAGCAGAGAGGGCAAGAGCCUCGACCGUGACGUUGCCGUACAGAUGCUACUUUAUUCACAUGCCCCUUCUGCACAACUGAUGUACUGUAUGUAAGCCAAGACAGUACCAUCAAAUAAUGACCCAUAUAGCUGGCCAUAAACUGAGAGCGGUUGAAUAUGGAGAUUAUGUUAUGUACAGCUGUAACAUUGGCUGUGGUCAAAAGGCCAGACAUUUUCACUGCUGCAAGUGUCCCAAGA
Molecule: long non-coding RNA, 458 nt
Organism: Sinocyclocheilus grahami
Lineage: Eukaryota; Metazoa; Chordata; Actinopteri; Cypriniformes; Cyprinidae
Exons: 3
Source: RefSeq, a predicted model, not a curated record